AAUAAGGUUAUUUUUCAGUUUUUAGAUAUAAUGUUUUGACUCUCCGUCUUAUUUGAAUUUUUUUGCGAUUAGUAUUUUUAUCGUUACUGGAUGAUAAAAUACGAAUAGUACUUUAUGCGUAACUAAUAUUUUUAAGUUUUUGUAUAAUUUUUUUAACUAAGAUAAAUGAUCAAUGCAUUAGACACAGAAAUCAAAAAAUAACGUUAUU
RNAcentral lists this microRNA precursor (208 nucleotides) under Oryza brachyantha (malo sina). RNAcentral describes it as "MIR812 microRNA precursor family". It matches the Rfam family "MIR812 microRNA precursor family". Lineage: Eukaryota; Viridiplantae; Streptophyta; Magnoliopsida; Poales; Poaceae. The record is from Rfam by way of RNAcentral.